Molecule: ribosomal RNA, 433 nt
Filed under: uncultured soil bacterium
Lineage: Bacteria
Description: bacterial SSU rRNA
Rfam family: Bacterial small subunit ribosomal RNA
Source: RNAcentral
AGAGUGAACGCUGGCGGUAGGCCUAACACAUGCAAGUCGAACGGCAGCACGGUAAGAGCUUGCUCUUAUGGGUGGCGAGUGGCGGACGGGUGAGGAAUACAUCGGAAUCUACCUUUUGGUGGGGGAUAACGUAGGGAAACUUACGCUAAUACCGCAUACGCCCUUCGGGGGAAAGCCGGGGACCAGCAAUGGCCUGGCGCUGAUAGAUGAGCCGAUGUCGGAUUAGCUAGUUGGUGAGGUAAUGGCUCACCAAGGCGACGAUCCGUAGCUGGUCUGAGAGGAUGAUCAGCCACACUGGAACUGAGACACGGUCCAGACCUCCGUACGGGAGGCAGCGAGGUGGGGAAUAGUUGGACGAAUGGGCGCAACGGCCUGAUCCAGCCAUACCGCGUGGUGAAGAAGGCCUUCGGUUGUAAACGUCCCGUUUUGGUUA